Non-coding RNA from Salmo salar (Atlantic salmon), 288 nucleotides. The record is from RefSeq and is a predicted model, not a curated record. NCBI's taxonomy places the organism in Eukaryota, Metazoa, Chordata, Actinopteri, Salmoniformes, Salmonidae.
CUUUUUCUUUACAUCUUUUUAAAUACAGAAACUCCAACAAAUACAACCACGUUACCCACCAUAAAUUACAAAACAUCAUCGAUCCUGCCCAAAGCGUCAUCAUCAACACCACCACCACCACCAUCACAUUAACAUCGUUAACAAUAUCAAACAGCGACAUGGAGUCACAAGAGCAGCGAUUACAAAGGAAGGUCAUAUCAGUCAGUACGUUGUUAGCUAUCUCUCUGAUAGCUAAUGUCCUCCUCUUGGGUGUUGUCAUCUUGCGGACCCGGGGGAGACGCCAGCAUG